AUGAAGAGGCCGGGAUCUUCAAACGCAGAUGACAAGAGGAAGGAAUGGACGAGCCUGUGGAAACUGAAGAUCCCAGGAAAGCUAAAAAAAUUUGCUUGGCGGCUUGCCAGAAACUCAAUCCCUACUGAAUCUGUGCGGAGCCACAGGAAGAUGACAGAAUCUGAUAUAUGUCCCGUUUGCAGCUCUGCUCAGGAUACUUGGAGACAUGCUUUCAUAAACUGUACCAUGGAAAAAUGUGUCUGGUCCCUCGUGGACUACGAUCUGAUCGAUCACAUGAUAGCAUGUUCUCACAACGAUGCGAGGCUUUGGCUCGUGGAAAUGCAAGCUUCCUUAUGCAGUUAGGAUUUUGUGAAAUUACUUGUUACACUCUGGUCGGUAUGGUGGGCAAGGAGGAAAGUCGUUCAUGAGGAGCAGUUUCAGUCUCCCCUAACCACUUUUUCCUUCAUACAAGGUUAUCUGAAUGACAUCCAGGAGGCCGAGCUACCGAGAACGAAGGCUCAUCGUCAGGUCACAUGGACAGCGCCCCCUGCGGGUUCAGUUAAAAUACAUGUUGAUGGCGCUGUCGGCAGGCAUGGCGGCCGCGGGUCUUUUGCCGCUAUUUGUCGUGAUGUUUCAGGUAACUUUCUUGGAGCUUCUGCUGUUACUGUUGCUGAACUUGUGUCGCCGGAGAUUCUGGAGGCCAUGGCAGCGAGGGAGGCACUCGCUUUGGCAAAGGACCUUGCCUGCACCAAGAUUGUUGUGGCCACUGACUGUCUAAAUACUGUAAACCAUCUCAAAACAGAUUUUUUCCGGUGCACCGUGGCAGUUCGGUUCAUUGCACUGUAG
RNAcentral lists this ribosomal RNA (825 nucleotides) under Triticum aestivum (bread wheat). Its description in RNAcentral is "partial small subunit ribosomal RNA". The record is from RNAcentral. Lineage: Eukaryota; Viridiplantae; Streptophyta; Magnoliopsida; Poales; Poaceae.